UUACCGAGUUUACAACUCCCAAACCCAAUGUGAACGUUACCAAACUGUUGCCUCGGCGGGAUCUCUGCCCCGGGUGCGUCGCAGCCCCGGACCAAGGCGCCCGCCGGAGGACCAACCAAAACUCUUAUUGUAUACCCCCUCGCGGGUUUUUUUUAUAAUCUGAGCCUUCUCGGCGCCUCUCGUAGGCGUUUCGAAAAUGAAUCAAAACUUUCAACAACGGAUCUCUUGGUUCUGGCAUCGAUGAAGAACGCAGCGAAAUGCGAUAAGUAAUGUGAAUUGCAGAAUUCAGUGAAUCAUCGAAUCUUUGAACGCACAUUGCGCCCGCCAGUAUUCUGGCGGGCAUGCCUGUCCGAGCGUCAUUUCAACCCUCGAACCCCUCCGGGGGGUCGGCGUUGGGGAUCGGCCCUCCCUUAGCGGGUGGCCGUCUCCGAAAUACAGUGGCGGUCUCGCCGCAGCCUCUCCUGCGCAGUAGUUUGCACACUCGCAUCGGGAGCGCGGCGCGUCCACAGCCGUUAAACACCCAACUUCUGAAAUGU
RNAcentral lists this ribosomal RNA (536 nucleotides) under Trichoderma lentiforme. RNAcentral describes it as "eukaryotic LSU rRNA". The stretch from base 206 to 359 matches the Rfam family "5.8S ribosomal RNA". Lineage: Eukaryota; Fungi; Ascomycota; Sordariomycetes; Hypocreales; Hypocreaceae. The record is from RNAcentral.